UGAGGAAUAUUGGUCAAUGGACGCAAGUCUGAACCAGCCAUGCCGCGUGCAGGAAGACGGCUCUAUGAGUUGUAAACUGCUUUUGUACGAGGGUAAACUCGGGUACGUGUACCCGACUGAAAGUAUCGUACGAAUAAGGAUCGGCUAACUCCGUGCCAGCAGCCGCGGUAAUACGGAGGAUUCAAGCGUUAUCCGGAUUUAUUGGGUUUAAAGGGUGCGUAGGCGGUUGGAUAAGUUAGAGGUGAAAUACCGGGGCUCAACUCCGGAACUGCCUCUGAUACUGUUCGGCUAGAGUGUAGUUGCGGUAGGCGGAAUGUAUGGUGUAGCGGUGAAAUGCUUAGAGAUCAUACAGAACACCGAUUGCGAAGGCAGCUUACCAAACUAUUACUGACGUUGAGGCACGAAAGCGUGGGUAGCAAACAGG
Molecule: ribosomal RNA, 424 nt
Filed under: uncultured bacterium
Lineage: Bacteria
Description: bacterial SSU rRNA
Rfam family: Bacterial small subunit ribosomal RNA
Source: RNAcentral